RNAcentral lists this ribosomal RNA (497 nucleotides) under uncultured bacterium. RNAcentral's name for it is "partial 16S ribosomal RNA". It matches the Rfam family "Bacterial small subunit ribosomal RNA", at positions 28 to 507 of the family's 1533-position model. The record is from RNAcentral.
GACGAACGCUGGCGGCGUGCCUAAUACAUGCAAGUCGAGCGCUGAAGCUUUGUACUUUUGCCCACUGGAUGAGCAGCUGACGGGUGAGUAACGCGUGGGUAAUCUUCCUUUUAUCGGUGGACAACAUCUUGAAACGAAUUCUAAUACCGCAUAAUAACUUUAACCACAAGUUUUAAGUUUGAAUCAUGCAAUUGCAUCACUCAAAGGUCAUUCCGCGUUUUAUUAGCUAGUUGGUGAGGUAAAGGCUCACCAAGGCGAUGAUACAUAGGCGACCUGAGAGGGUGGUCGGCCCAAUUGGGAAUGAGACAAGGCCCAAGAUCCUUCGGGGAGGAGCAGUAGGGGAUCUUUGGAAAUGGACGAAAGUCUGAACGAGGAAAGCCGGGUGGGGGAAGGAGGUUUUCCGAUCGUAAAACUCUGUUGGUAGAGAAGAACGUUGGUGAGAGUGGAAAGCCCAUGAAGUGACGGUAACUAAACAGAAAGCGACGGCUAACUACGUG